RNAcentral lists this transfer RNA (72 nucleotides) under Alphaproteobacteria bacterium. RNAcentral describes it as "tRNA-Phe". The record is from RNAcentral. Lineage: Bacteria; Pseudomonadati; Pseudomonadota; Alphaproteobacteria.
UGAGAAUUUUUUACAUGGAGUAUCUGUAGUUGAAGUCGACAGUGGACCACGUUCGAUUCGCGGAACCUCAUC